GACGAACGCUGGCGGCGUGCUUAACACAUGCAAGUCGAACGGAAAGGCCCUGCUUUUGUGGGGUGCUCGAGUGGCGACCGGGUGAGUAACACGUGAGUAACCUGCCCUUGACUUUGGGGUAUCUUCAGGAAACUGGGGCUCUUACCGGAUAGGAGUUCCUGCUGCUUGGUGGGGGUUGGUAAGUUUCGGCGGUUGGGGAUGGAAUCGCGGCUUAUCAGCUUGUUGGGUGGGUAGUGGCUUACCAAGGCUUUGCCGGGUAGCCGGCCUGAGAGGGUGGCCGGCCACAUUAGGACGGAGAUACGGCCCAGACUCCUACGGGAGGCAACGGUGGAGAAUAUUGCACAAGGGGCGGAAGCCUGAUGCAGCAAAGCCGCGUGCGGGAAGACGGGAUUCGGGUUGGGAACCGCUGUCGCCUGAGACGAAGCGUGAGUGACGGUAAUGGGUAAAGAAGCACCGGCUAACUACGUG
Molecule: ribosomal RNA, 468 nt
Filed under: uncultured bacterium
Lineage: Bacteria
Description: partial 16S ribosomal RNA
Rfam family: Bacterial small subunit ribosomal RNA
Source: RNAcentral